UAAAGGAAGUAAUCCAACUCUUUAUAAGUCAUUAUUAAGUUUCUCAUUUUUCCAAUACAGACUCGUUAUCUUCACAUUCUUACAUCCAUUAACCCCAAAAAUUUCCACACCACCGUUUUUUUGUUUUUUUCGGUCAAUAAUUCCUCACCACCUAAACACAGUCCAUUCGAAAUUAGAAAGGAACAGAACCCACCCUUAAUUCCCAAAUUAGUUUUACACUUCCGCUCAAAACUCAAACCCUAAGCCCCAACCCCCACCACUUCUCCGGCGCCGACCACCUCCUGCCGCCGCAUCAGCCCUUGUGUUGCCGGCACCGCCCAUAAUUUCAAAUACUUUGGUCCUUGUUUGAUGCGGUUCAUUUUUUACAACGGCUCUCGAUACGUAACGGAGUUUUGCAAGAGCUGCUGAUAGAAAAAAGACGAGGACGUGUCUUUGAGGGAUAGAGUGAAGGAAAGAUAUAUUCCCCUCUGACAUACAAGUAUUUAAAUAUUUCAUAUACCUGUCUUGGAAAUAAUUAUAUAGUUGGGAGUUUGGAGUAUUUUAUUGCCUUCACAUUGUCUCUAUAUUGCUAUGCUAUUCAUGUCAUAUCACCUAUUUUUUCAAGUGUCUUGGAAUCAAAAUUAUAUAGUUGGGACUAGAAUUUUUGUAUUGCCUUCUUGUUAGGAAAAUGGGAAAAUAAGAAAUUAGGAAAAUUGGAAAAAAAGAAAAUAUGCAAAUGCGCAAUAAAAAUGCAAUACGCAUGCAAUACAACGGCAUAAAUUCGAUGGAUGAGCCCACGCCCCGCGGUGAAGGACAUAAAAGUUUGAUGGAUAAAAAGCCCAAAAUGAAUAAAAGGGACGGAAAUAUUCGAUGGAUGAGCCCACACCAUAGUGUGAAGGGUAUAAGGGGACGGAAAUUCAAACAAAAAACCCCAAAUGUUGGGAAUGGAUAAAAGCCCCGCGGUGGAGGAGGGAGGCAUAAAAGCCCCCAGGUAUGAUAGCGUGUUGUCUAAUACGCAGUCAAUCCGUAUUACAAAUUGAGCUUUGUUGUAAUGGGGAAUAUGAAUUUCUGUCUCUCAACAUUCUCCUUCUUUUCACAAAUAUAGUGCCUUUCUCUUUUCUGAA
Molecule: long non-coding RNA, 1103 nt
Organism: Prunus mume (Japanese apricot)
Lineage: Eukaryota; Viridiplantae; Streptophyta; Magnoliopsida; Rosales; Rosaceae
Source: RefSeq, a predicted model, not a curated record